CCCUCUAUUGUUGACAACGAGCCGUGGGGGGCUUUCCGGUGAGGACCGGAAAACCUGCUAGACAAAUUCUAAAAGAGCUGUAACACUACAGGAAGUGGCCUGGAGAGACCAUGGGGUAUCCAGGAAUGCCACUCUUGGUGAGGAGUUUGUGAACAUUUGAUUCGAGUCUAUGCAAAUGAACUCGAAGCUGAUUGGCUGGCAAGGCUGGCCACACCCCCUCCGAUGUUUGAGAAGGCCGAGGGCGAGGGCGGUUCUCCGGCUCUCCUAAGAUGGCCUUGUCCCUGCUGUGCGCUCCAGCCUGACGUCCUCCGAUUCCUCCUCUCUUCUAGACGUCUGAAAUGGUCUCCCACCCCCUUCCCAAACCAUGGGGUACUUACGCCUCCAGAGUUCUCAUCGCUUUAACCUAAUGAAACUAUGCCCCUGCUCCUCCGC
Long non-coding RNA from Canis lupus familiaris (dog), 432 nucleotides. RefSeq lists it as uncharacterized. The transcript is spliced from 2 exons. NCBI's taxonomy places the organism in Eukaryota, Metazoa, Chordata, Mammalia, Carnivora, Canidae. The record is from RefSeq and is a predicted model, not a curated record.